Molecule: microRNA precursor, 129 nt
Organism: Brassica oleracea var. oleracea
Lineage: Eukaryota; Viridiplantae; Streptophyta; Magnoliopsida; Brassicales; Brassicaceae
Rfam family: MIR9555 microRNA precursor family
Source: Rfam
UUAUAUAGACGUAUAUAAUUGUGGGGUUCUAAGCUUUACGGGAAAUCCAACCGAAAGAUUUUUAAAUAAGAAACUUUCGAUUGGGUUUCCCGUAAAGCUUAGAACCCACAAUUACAUACGCCUAUAUAA